This 396-nucleotide long non-coding RNA is filed under the name Solanum tuberosum (potato). RNAcentral describes it as "long non-coding RNA (STUB_LNC000911)". The record is from RNAcentral. Lineage: Eukaryota; Viridiplantae; Streptophyta; Magnoliopsida; Solanales; Solanaceae.
CUUCCUUUUAUCUCUUAUUUCUAUUUUGUAUAAAUACCAAAUGUAAUCGUAGGUAUUGAAUCAUCAAAUUGAGAUAAAUCAUUCUUCAAUUUCUCUCGUGUUUUCUUUGUUAUAUACAACAUUUUGCAAUGUCUUAUGAAGUAUUUGAUUUAAACAGUUUCUAGCAUUCGGGGACCAUUGAACUGAUAUGAACAAAGUUUUUAAUAUAGUUGCACUGCUUGUCAUGAACCAGCAUUCUCAAAUACUCUAGAUUGCAGUAAUACAAGUUCAUGACACUUUCUUCUAUCAAAGACUUUUCAAAUACCUGUAUUACCGAUACAACUGAAAUGGUUGCUUGGCUUCAAAAUUUGUACUUGUUCACAAACUAGAGAAAUGAUCAAAACAGAACAAGUAANN